UACGUAGGGUGCGAGCGUUGUCCGGAAUUAUUGGGCGUAAAGAGCUCGUAGGCGAUCCGUCACGUCGGGUGUGAAAAUCCAGGGCUCAACCCUGGACCUGCACCCGAUACGGGCGGACUAGAGUUCGGUAGGGGAGACUGGAAUUCCUGGUGUAGCGGUGAAAUGCGCAGAUAUCAGGAGGAACACCGGUGGCGAAGGCGGGUCUCUGGGCCGAUACUGACGCUGAGGAGCGAAAGCGUGGGGAGCGAACAGG
This 253-nucleotide ribosomal RNA is filed under the name uncultured bacterium. Its description in RNAcentral is "partial 16S ribosomal RNA". It matches the Rfam family "Bacterial small subunit ribosomal RNA", at positions 524 to 776 of the family's 1533-position model. The record is from RNAcentral.